UAGGGAAUCUUCGGCAAUGGACGAAAGUCUGACCGAGCAACGCCGCGUGAGUGAAGAAGGUUUUCGGAUCGUAAAACUCUGUUGUUAGAGAAGAACAAGGACGUUAGUAACUGAACGUCCCCUGACGGUAUCUAACCAGAAAGCCACGGCUAACUACGUGCCAGCAGCCGCGGUAAUACGUAGGUGGCAAGCGUUGUCCGGAUUUAUUGGGCGUAAAGCGAGCGCAGGCGGUUUCUUAAGUCUGCUGUGAAAGCCCCCGGCUCAACCGGGGAGGGUCAUUGGAAACUGGGAGAAUUGAGGGCAGAAGAGGAGAGAGGAAGUCAUGUGUAGCGGUGAAAGGCGUAGAUAGAUGGAGGAACACCAGUGGAGAAGGCGGCUCUCUGGUCUGUAACUGACGAUGAGGCUCGAAAGCGUGGGGAGAAAACAGG
Molecule: ribosomal RNA, 428 nt
Filed under: Gemmatimonadota bacterium
Lineage: Bacteria; Pseudomonadati; Gemmatimonadota
Description: Gemmatimonadetes bacterium partial 16S ribosomal RNA
Rfam family: Bacterial small subunit ribosomal RNA
Source: RNAcentral